GCAUCCGUAGCUCAGUUGGUAGAGCAGCUGACUCUUAAUCAGCGGGUCCUAGGUUCGAGUCCUAGCGGAUGCA
RNAcentral lists this transfer RNA (73 nucleotides) under [Chlorobium] sp. 445. RNAcentral describes it as "Chlorobium sp. 445 tRNA-Lys". It matches the Rfam family "tRNA". From Rfam's summary of the family: Transfer RNA (tRNA) molecules are approximately 80 nucleotides in length. The record is from RNAcentral. Lineage: Bacteria; Pseudomonadati; Chlorobiota; Chlorobiia; Chlorobiales; Chloroherpetonaceae. RNAcentral also lists the same sequence under 4 other names.